Non-coding RNA from Vicia faba (fava bean), 363 nucleotides. Lineage: Eukaryota; Viridiplantae; Streptophyta; Magnoliopsida; Fabales; Fabaceae. The record is from the annotation of a GenBank genome assembly.
AUGCAGUCCCCCAUGUAUGACAUCUUUGAGCCUUCACUGAUGAAUGUUAAGAUGAAAGCACAAGAGACUAGCACCCUUUCUCAACCUAAGAAGCUUGCAUCUAGGAUUCAGACUAGCCCACAAUCUCAAAGAAAUUCCGAGAAUAAGAGUAAACCCAUGUCACAAAGCAAUCCCUUUCAUAAAAGAGAGACCAUCAAGAGUUCAGCACUACCAGACUACGGCCUCCACUCAGACAGGUCUAGAGGCGAAUUCGCAGUUUCAGCAGCAAUAAGUCCAGCAGACUCAGCUUCAACCGCAACAACUUCAAAGAGCCUCAGGCACGAGAGCAGGUUCAACCAGUGCCGCUACAGCAUUCUCAGGUGA